CCUACGGGUGGCUGCAGUGGGGAAUAUUGGACAAUGGGCGAAAGCCUGAUCCAGCCAUGCCGCGUGUGUGAAGAAGGCCUUCGGGUUGUAAAGCACUUUCAGUGGGGAAGAAAGCCUUGGGGCUAAUACCCUCGAGGAAGGACAUCACCCACAGAAGAAGCACCGGCUAACUCCGUGCCAGCAGCCGCGGUAAUACGGAGGGUGCGAGCGUUAAUCGGAAUUACUGGGCGUAAAGCGCGCGUAGGCGGUCUGAUAAGCCGGUUGUGAAAGCCCCGGGCUCAACCUGGGAACGGCAUCCGGAACUGUCAGGCUAGAGUGCAGGAGAGGAAGGUAGAAUUCCCGGUGUAGCGGUGAAAUGCGUAGAGAUCGGGAGGAAUACCAGAGGCGAAGGCGGCCUUCUGGACUGACACUGACGCUGAGGUGCGAAAGCGUGGGUAGCAAACAGGAUUAGAUACCCUGGUAGUC
This 465-nucleotide ribosomal RNA is filed under the name Vreelandella stevensii. Its description in RNAcentral is "partial 16S ribosomal RNA". It matches the Rfam family "Bacterial small subunit ribosomal RNA", at positions 338 to 795 of the family's 1533-position model. The record is from RNAcentral. Lineage: Bacteria; Pseudomonadati; Pseudomonadota; Gammaproteobacteria; Oceanospirillales; Halomonadaceae.